GAUGAACGCUGGCGGCGUGCCUAAUACAUGCAAGUUGAGCGCUGAAGGUUGGUACUUGUACCCACUGGAUGAGCAGCGAACGGGUGAGUAACGCGUGGGGAAUCUGCCUUUUAGCGGGGGACAACAUUUGGAAACGAAUGCUAAUACCGCAUAAAAACUUUAAACACAAGUUUCAAGUUUGAAAGAUGCAUUUGCAUCACUCAAAGAUGAUCCCCCGUUUUUUUAGCUAGUUGGUGAGGUAAAGGCCAACCAGGGCAAUGAUACAUAGCCUACCGGGAGGGUGGACGGCCAACGUGGGAACGAGACACGGCCCAAAACUCUACGGGAGGCCGCAGUAGGGAAACAUCGGAAAUGGAGGAAAGGCUGACCGAGCAACGCCGGGGGAGUGAAGAAGGGUUUCGGAUCGUAAAACUCUGUUGGUAGGGAAGAAAGUUGGUGAGAGUGGAAAGCUCAUCAAGUGACGGUAACUAACCAGAAAGGGACGGCUAACUACGUG
RNAcentral lists this ribosomal RNA (496 nucleotides) under uncultured bacterium. Its description in RNAcentral is "partial 16S ribosomal RNA". It matches the Rfam family "Bacterial small subunit ribosomal RNA", at positions 28 to 507 of the family's 1533-position model. The record is from RNAcentral.